GCAGAACCUGGUGAAGCCAUGCUGGUUGUCCUGUAUCACCUCCCUGUUUUCGAUGUGCCUCAGCAUAGCCUCCUGGAGGAUCUACUCCAUGAUCUUCCCUAGCACAAAGGUGAAGCUGACAGAAUGUUCUUUAAGGCACUGAACCUUUUCUUAUGCAAUUGGGAAGAGAUGAGUCUGUGGCCAUGACCAGCGUAAUUUAAAGAGGAGCUAAAAGGAGCAGAAAACCUUACCAAGAAGUGCAGUUUACUGAGAGAUUCGC
RNAcentral lists this long non-coding RNA (259 nucleotides) under Gallus gallus (chicken). Its description in RNAcentral is "long non-coding RNA NONGGAT011721". The record is from RNAcentral. Lineage: Eukaryota; Metazoa; Chordata; Aves; Galliformes; Phasianidae.